RNAcentral lists this ribosomal RNA (253 nucleotides) under uncultured bacterium. Its description in RNAcentral is "partial 16S ribosomal RNA". It matches the Rfam family "Bacterial small subunit ribosomal RNA", at positions 524 to 776 of the family's 1533-position model. The record is from RNAcentral.
UACGUAGGGUGCAAGCGUUAAUCGGAAUUACUGGGCGUAAAGCGUGCGCAGGCGGUUAUGUAAGACAGAUGUGAAAUGCCCGGGCUCAACCUGGGAACUGCAUUUGUGACUGCAUGGCUAGAGUGUGUCAGAGGGGGGUAGAAUUCCACGUGUAGCAGUGAAAUGCGUAGAGAUGUGGAGGAAUACCGAUGGCGAAGGCAGCCCCCUGGGAUAACACUGACGCUCAUGCACGAAAGCGUGGGGAGCAAACAGG